RNAcentral lists this transfer RNA (69 nucleotides) under Mimachlamys varia. RNAcentral's name for it is "tRNA-Lys". It matches the Rfam family "tRNA". From Rfam's summary of the family: Transfer RNA (tRNA) molecules are approximately 80 nucleotides in length. Their secondary structure includes four short double-helical elements and three loops (D, anti-codon, and T loops). The record is from RNAcentral. Lineage: Eukaryota; Metazoa; Mollusca; Bivalvia; Pectinida; Pectinidae.
GGGUCGAUAGCCUAAGAAGGGCAACGGGCUUUUGACUCGUGGGUGAAGUAGAAGAAGCUUCUCGUCCCA